GUCUGUUUGGAGAUAUAAAGAGUCUGGCCUGCCCACUGAUAAUUUUAAAGGGCCGCGGUAAUUUGACCGUGCAAAGGUAGCAUAAUCGUUAGUUUUUUAAUUGGAAUCUUGUAUGAAUGGUUGAACAAAAGAAUAACUGUCUCUAUAUUUUUCUUGAAAUUUAACUUUUAAGUGAAAAGGCUUAAAUAUUUUAAAAAGACGAUAAGACCCUAUAAAGCUUAAUAAGGUUUAUUAUUUAGCUGAGUUAAUAUAAACAUAAAAGCUAAGUAAAAAAGACUUAUUUUAUUGGGGCGAUAAUGAUAAAAUUUUACUAACUGUUGAUAAAAAUAUACAAGUAUUUAUGUUUGGAAUGUUAAAUGAUCCUAAAAUAAAGAUUAAAAGUUUAAGUUACUUUAGGGAUAACAGCGUUAUUUUUCUUGAGAGUUCAUAUCGAAAGAAAAGUUUGCGACCUCGAUGUUGAAUUAAAAUUUCUAUAUAAUUGCAGAAGUUAUAUUAGAGGGUCUGUUCGACCUUUAAAUUUUUACAUGAUUUGAGUUCAGACCGGCGUGAG
This 550-nucleotide ribosomal RNA is filed under the name Tubuca bellator. RNAcentral's name for it is "partial 16S rRNA". It matches the Rfam family "Bacterial large subunit ribosomal RNA", at positions 1829 to 2625 of the family's 2925-position model. The record is from RNAcentral. Lineage: Eukaryota; Metazoa; Arthropoda; Malacostraca; Decapoda; Ocypodidae.